GACGAACGCUGGCGGCGUGCUUAACACAUGCAAGUCGAACGGAAAGGCCCUGCUUGCAGGGUACUCGAGUGGCGAACGGGUGAGUAACACGUGGGUGAUCUGCCCUGCACUUCGGGAUAAGCCUGGGAAACUGGGUCUAAUACCGGAUAGGAGCCAUUUUUAGUGUGAUGGUUGGAAAGUUUUUUCGGUGCAGGAUGAGCUCGCGGCCUAUCAGCUUGUUGGUGGGGUAAUGGCCUACCAAGGCGGCGACGGGUAGCCGGCCUGAGAGGGUGGACGGCCACAUUGGGACUGAGAUACGGCCCAGACUCCUACGGGAGGCAGCAGUGGGGAAUAUUGAACAAUGGGCGCAAGCCUGAUGCAGCGACGCCGCGUGGGGGAUGACGGCCUUCGGGUUGUAAACUCCUUUCGCUAGGGACGAAGCUUUUUGUGACGGUACCUAGAUAAGAAGCACCGGCUAACUACGUG
Molecule: ribosomal RNA, 465 nt
Filed under: uncultured bacterium
Lineage: Bacteria
Description: partial 16S ribosomal RNA
Rfam family: Bacterial small subunit ribosomal RNA
Source: RNAcentral